CCUAUAAAGUUUAGAGAGGGAGACUUUUCUACUGAACAAAGUGGAUGGUCUACUCUGUUAGAGGAUCAGUCCAGGUGUGCAGUGUGUCAGCAGGUGCUGAGGGAUCCAGUCUCUAUCACCUGUGGACACAGGUUCUGCAGACAGUGCAUUACCAGAUACUGGGAGAAACCUGCUCCUUCAGGAGACUAUGACUGUCCUCAGUGUAGAAAGAGAUCCAGAACACGGCCUGUACUACAGCACCUGAGUCAACCCAAUAAAACAAGAGGCUCUGAAAACAGGAAGACCACUUGCACACUGGAUGACAGCCUGCAGAGAGCUAUAGUAAACCAUAAAGACAGUCUGAAAAGGAGGUAUGAAUGUGUGAUAGAAGGCAUGGAAAAAGCAGGGAACCAAA
This is a long non-coding RNA of Coregonus clupeaformis (lake whitefish), 394 nucleotides long. RefSeq lists it as uncharacterized. The record is from RefSeq and is a predicted model, not a curated record. NCBI's taxonomy places the organism in Eukaryota, Metazoa, Chordata, Actinopteri, Salmoniformes, Salmonidae. The transcript has 3 exons.